Molecule: ribosomal RNA, 1328 nt
Filed under: uncultured bacterium
Lineage: Bacteria
Description: bacterial SSU rRNA
Rfam family: Bacterial small subunit ribosomal RNA
Source: RNAcentral
GCUUAACACAUGCAAGUCGAACGGAAAGGCCCUGCUUUUGUGGGGUGCUCGAGUGGCGAACGGGUGAGUAACACGUGAGUAACCUGCCCUUGACUUUGGGAUAACUUCAGGAAACUGGGGCUAAUACCGGAUAGGAGCUCCUGCUGCAUGGUGGGGGUUGGAAAGUUUCGGCGGUUGGGGACGGACUCGCGGCUUAUCAGCUUGUUGGUGGGGUAGUGGCUUACCAAGGCUUUGACGGGUAGCCGGCCUGAGAGGGUGACCGGCCACAUUGGGACUGAGAUACGGCCCAGACUCCUACGGGAGGCAGCAGUGGGGAAUAUUGCACAAUGGGCGGAAGCCUGAUGCAGCAACGCCGCGUGCGGGAUGACGGCCUUCGGGUUGUAAACCGCUUUCGCCUGUGACGAAGCGUGAGUGACGGUAAUGGGUAAAGAAGCACCGGCUAACUACGUGCCAGCAGCCGCGGUGAUACGUAGGGUGCGAGCGUUGUCCGGAUUUAUUGGGCGUAAAGGGCUCGUAGGUGGUUGAUCGCGUCGGAAGUGUAAUCUUGGGGCUUAACCCUGAGCGUGCUUUCGAUACGGGUUGACUUGAGGAAGGUAGGGGAGAAUGGAAUUCCUGGUGGAGCGGUGGAAUGCGCAGAUAUCAGGAGGAACACCAGUGGCGAAGGCGGUUCUCUGGGCCUUUCCUGACGCUGAGGAGCGAAAGCGUGGGGAGCGAACAGGCUUAGAUACCCUGGUAGUCCACGCUGUAAACGGUGGGUACUAGGUGUGGGGUCCAUUCCACGGGUUCCGUGCCGUAGCUAACGCUUUAAGUACCCCGCCUGGGGAGUACGGCCGCAAGGCUAAAACUCAAAGGAAUUGACGGGGCCCCGCACAAGCGGCGGAGCAUGCGGAUUAAUUCGAUGCAACGCGUAGAACCUUACCUGGGUUUGACAUGGAUCGGGAGUGCUCAGAGAUGGGUGUGCCUCUUUUGGGGUCGGUUCACAGGUGGUGCAUGCCUGUCGUCAGCUCGUGUCGUGAGAUGUUGGGUUAAGUCCCGCAACGAGCGCAACCCUUGUUCACUGUUGCCAGCACGCUAUGGUGGGGACUCAGUGGAGACCGCCGGGGUCAACUCGGAGGAAGGUGGGGAUGACGCCAAGUCAUCAUGCCCCUUAUGUCCAGGGCUUCACGCAUGCUACAAUGGCUGGUACAGAGAGUGGCGAGCCUGUGAGGGUGAGCGAAUCUCGGAAAGCCGGUCUCAGUUCGGAUUGGGGUCUGCAACUCGACCUCAUGAAGUCGGAGUCGCUAGUAAUCGCAAAUCAGCAACGCUGCGGUGAAUACGUUCCCGGGGCU